GACGAACGCUGGCGGCGUGCUUAACACAUGCAAGUCGAACGAUGAACCCGGAGCUUGCUCCGGCGGAUUAGUGGCGAACGGGUGAGUAACACGUGAGUAACCUGCCCUUGACUCUGGGAUAACUGCGGGAAACUGUAGCUAAUACCGGAUACGACCCUCGGCGGCAUCGCCAGGGGGUGGAAAGAAUUUCGGUCAAGGAUGGACUCGCGGCCUAUCAGCUAGUUGGUGAGGUAACGGCGCACCAAGGCGACGACGGGUAGCCGGCCUGAGAGGGUGACCGGCCACACUGGGACUGAGACACGGCCCAGACUCCUACGGGAGGCAGCAGUGGGGAAUAUUGCACAAUGGGCGAAAGCCUGAUGCAGCAACGCCGCGUGAGGGAUGACGGCCUUCGGGUUGUAAACCUCUUUUAGUAGGGAAGAAGCGAAAGUGACGGUACCUGCAGAAAAAGCACCGGCUAACUACGUGCCAGCAGCCGCAGUAA
RNAcentral lists this ribosomal RNA (484 nucleotides) under uncultured bacterium. Its description in RNAcentral is "partial 16S ribosomal RNA". It matches the Rfam family "Bacterial small subunit ribosomal RNA", at positions 28 to 523 of the family's 1533-position model. The record is from RNAcentral.